RNAcentral lists this ribosomal RNA (339 nucleotides) under Eobania vermiculata. RNAcentral's name for it is "Massylaea vermiculata partial 16S ribosomal RNA". The record is from RNAcentral. Lineage: Eukaryota; Metazoa; Mollusca; Gastropoda; Stylommatophora; Helicidae.
AGGUAGAUACAGUUGGCUUAUAAUUGAAGUCUAGUAUGAACGAAAUGACGGGUAUUAGCUGUCUCAGCAAUAAUUUUAUAAAUUUAGUAAGUAAUUGCAAAGACUUACAGUAGUAUAUUAGACGAGAAGACCCUAGAAAUUUUAAUAAAUAGUUUUUGUUGGGGCGACAGAGUUACAAGUAACUAACUCUAUAUUACAUGUUGUGUUAAAGGAUGAUUAAAUUACUCUAGGGAUAACAGCAUAAUUUAUAAUAGUUAUGGACCUCGAUGUUGGACUAGGUAAAGUGUUUUUUAGAAGAAAACUUUUCAUGCUCUGUUCGAGCAGAAAAACCUGACAUAC